Molecule: transfer RNA, 86 nt
Filed under: Clostridia bacterium
Lineage: Bacteria; Bacillati; Bacillota; Clostridia
Description: tRNA-Leu
Rfam family: tRNA
About the family: Transfer RNA (tRNA) molecules are approximately 80 nucleotides in length. Their secondary structure includes four short double-helical elements and three loops (D, anti-codon, and T loops). Further hydrogen bonds mediate the characteristic L-shaped molecular structure. tRNAs have two regions of fundamental functional importance: the anti-codon, which is responsible for specific mRNA codon recognition, and the 3' end, to which the tRNAs corresponding amino acid is attached (by aminoacyl-tRNA synthetases). tRNAs cope with the degeneracy of the genetic code in two manners: having more than one tRNA (with a specific anti-codon) for a particular amino acid; and 'wobble' base-pairing, i.e. permitting non-standard base-pairing at the 3rd anti-codon position.
Source: RNAcentral
GCGGAUGUGGUGAAAUGGCAGACACGUAAGUUUCAGACGCUUAUACUGUAAAAGGUGUGCAGGUUCAAGUCCUGUCGUCCGCACCA